AUAGGACUUUAUUGGGAAGCUACAAAAAGCAAGGGUGGGGGGAGUGGUAAGCAAGAAGGUGCAGAGGGAGACGCAGGAUGAAUGUGUCUGGCUUAAGUUAGGCAGUUGCAGUCCCGAAUUUCAUUUAUCUAAAUUAUACUGUGGGCUAAAGGGCCCUCUUGCUUUGGACUAACUAGUUGUUAGGAGCCUGUUCCUUUGCUUCGCUGUCAGUGUCACCUCAGGACAGUGUGCCUGGUUUAUAUAAAACUUGCUCAAUGCGUCUCAAAGGUAUUCUAAGGUCACUCCCCUCCCCCGCCCCCCUGUAAUGCCUCAAAAGCCCUGCUGCUGCACUGGAUUACUCUGAAGAGCUAAAGCUUGCAGACAGCAACAGCGGGACUGGUGGGCUAACGUAUCAUAAUCAACUCUAUAUAUAGCUAGGGAGAUUUAAAAAAAAAAAAAAAAGCCCUGCUUUUUUGCUGAUGCUAAGGCAUGCUGCAAAAGGGAGGAUUUGCUCACCAUUAGAAUCUGAAAUGUUUGAUUGAGGUAAAAUAGUUCCCAGGAUUGAAGUAAACACACUCUUUAGUAAAUACAGAACAUUUACUGUAGCUUAUUGGAUGGAUGUUUUAAUCUUUUGAGAGAGAGGUCAUUGGCCGUGUUAGUCUGCAGUUUGGCAGAAAGCAGGGUAGAAUUGCAUCUUAAUGCCUAACUAAAUAAUAAUGCAGUACAUCUAUGAUUCAGUGGUUUUCAACCUUUUUUUUCAUUUGCAGACCCCUAAAAAAUUUCAAAUGGAGGUGUGGGCGCCUUUGGAAAUUUUGAAUGGAGGUGCAGACCGUUUUGUAUUAAAAAGGCUGGACAUUCCUCUGCUUCAGAAAGUGAAGCCACUACCCUGCCAUUCAUUGACUAUUGGGAUUCUACAACUGGAUUGUUGAGAGACAGCUAGGACCCACUGUAGAAUAUGCAAAACUUGGUGAGAGAUUUGGUGGCUUGCCUCUUCAGUUAAGGGCUUUAAAUCCAUGUCUCUUCAUCCUCUGAGGAGCACUCCAGGAAGACAAGGGAGUACAGCGGAAACUAGCAUCCUGAUACUUUCUUAAAAACUGUUGUGCUUACUUAUUAAAAUACUUACCUGGCUUCUUUGCAAAACAAGAGCAUAGAUCCACGCAGGCUCAGUAUGUCAUGACCUUCCAACAGCUGCUGUACAUGAGUAAGAACCUACUACUGCUACUACCUCACAGAGAUUCACUUCCAGCUCGGAUGGCAGAGUUCUGUGCUACCACUCCUGAAGAUCAAUUCCUUUAUCUCUGUUUAUGACCUACUCUAUAUAAAUUAACAUUUCCCAUUCUUGCCCUUACCCCAUGUUUCAGCCCCUCAGUACUGGGCUGAAUAAAUACUUAAGGUAGAUUGAUUUGCAAAAUGAUUAAUUAAAAACUGAAACUGUGAUUAUGUAGUCAAUAUUGUACAAUUAAUUGCUGCUGACAUUACUGACUGGCACUGAAUUUGAUCUAGAGCUCCCAAAAAUGCCUUAACUUGAUGGUGAGCUUAGUCUUAGCUGAUGUCAGAUUAUUUUGCAUUGGAGAUGUUUGAAAGUGAUUAAAAGUAACAGUGGUGAGUUCCCUCA
Molecule: long non-coding RNA, 1594 nt
Organism: Alligator mississippiensis (American alligator)
Lineage: Eukaryota; Metazoa; Chordata; Crocodylia; Alligatoridae
Exons: 2
Source: RefSeq, a predicted model, not a curated record